ACCCCAGGUCAGGCGGGACUACCCGCUGAGUUUAAGCAUAUCAAUAAGAGGAGGAA
RNAcentral lists this ribosomal RNA (56 nucleotides) under Triticum turgidum subsp. durum (durum wheat). RNAcentral describes it as "partial 26S ribosomal RNA". Lineage: Eukaryota; Viridiplantae; Streptophyta; Magnoliopsida; Poales; Poaceae. The record is from RNAcentral.